RNAcentral lists this ribosomal RNA (519 nucleotides) under uncultured bacterium. RNAcentral describes it as "bacterial SSU rRNA". It matches the Rfam family "Bacterial small subunit ribosomal RNA", at positions 355 to 870 of the family's 1533-position model. The record is from RNAcentral.
GGGGGAAUCUUGCGCAAUGGGCGGAAGCCUGACGCAGCAACGCCGCGUGGGGGAUGACGGCCUUCGGGUUGUAAACCUCUUUCGCGAUCGACGAAGCUCCAUCUUUCUGGUGGGGUGACGGUAGGUCGAGAAGAAGCACCGGCCAACUACGUGCCAGCAGCCGCGGUAAUACGUAGGGUGCGAGCGUUGUCCGGAAUUAUUGGGCGUAAAGAGCUCGUAGGCGGUGUGUCGCGUCGGCCGUGAAAACCUGGGGCUCAACUCUGGGCGUGCGGUCGAUACGGGCAUCACUUGAGUUCGGCAGGGGAGACUGGAAUUCCUGGUGUAGCGGUGAAAUGCGCAGAUAUCAGGAGGAACACCGGUGGCGAAGGCGGGUCUCUGGGCCGAUACUGACGCUGAGGAGCGAAAGCAUGGGUAGCGAACAGGAUUAGAUACCCUGGUAGUCCAUGCCGUAAACGUUGGGCGCUAGGUGUGGGGUCCAUUCCACGGGUUCCGUGCCGCAGCUAACGCAUUAAGCGCCCC